Molecule: ribosomal RNA, 253 nt
Filed under: uncultured bacterium
Lineage: Bacteria
Description: partial 16S ribosomal RNA
Rfam family: Bacterial small subunit ribosomal RNA
Source: RNAcentral
UACGUAGGGUGCAAGCGUUGUCCGGAAUUAUUGGGCGUAAAGAGCUCGUAGGCGGUUUGUUGCGUCGGCUGUGAAAUCCCGAGGCUCAACCUCGGGUCUGCAGUCGAUACGAGCAAACUAGAGUGUUGCAGGGGAGACUGGAAUUCCUGGUGUAGCGGUGAAAUACGCAGAUAUCAGGAGGAACACCAGCGGCGAAGGCGGCGCUCUGGGCCGGUACUGACGCUGAGGAGCGAAAGCGUGGGUAGCAAACAGG